This 418-nucleotide ribosomal RNA is filed under the name uncultured bacterium. Its description in RNAcentral is "bacterial SSU rRNA". It matches the Rfam family "Bacterial small subunit ribosomal RNA", at positions 355 to 771 of the family's 1533-position model. The record is from RNAcentral.
UAGGGAAUAUUGGUCAAUGGGUGAGAGCCUGAACCAGCCAUGCCGCGUGCAGGAAGACGGCCUUCUGGGUUGUAAACUGCUUUUACCAGGGGAUAAAAAGAUCUUGCGAGAUAAAUUGAAGGUACCUGGAGAAUAAGCACCGGCUAACUACGUGCCAGCAGCCGCGGUAAUACGUAGGGUGCAAGCGUUGUCCGGAUUUAUUGGGUUUAAAGGGUGCGUAGGCGGGCUAUUAAGUCAGUGGUGAAAUCCAGCAGCUUAACUGUUGAUGUGCCAUUGAUACUGGUAGCCUUGAGUACAGAUGAGGUAGGCGGAAUUGACAGUGUAGCGGUGAAAUGCAUAGAUAUUGUCAAGAACUCCGAUAGCGAAGGCAGCUUACUGGGCUGUAACUGACGCUGAUGCACGAAAGUGUGGGGAUCAA